Molecule: long non-coding RNA, 568 nt
Filed under: Capra hircus (goat)
Lineage: Eukaryota; Metazoa; Chordata; Mammalia; Artiodactyla; Bovidae
Description: lncRNA (ENSCHIG00000001195.1)
Source: RNAcentral
GUCCUAAUCAGUUCUAAAGUGCCCAUUCCUGUGCCUUCUAUGCUUGAGAAGACUUAAAAAAUCCACAUGGAGACUUGUGUGAGGCGUCCGUGGGGGGAGUGGUUUUCGGUCUUGGCAAGCAACUCAGAUGAAACUGUUGGAGGGGGUCACGUGAUUGCUGGCUGACUCCGCAGCUCCACGGGGCAACCUGAGGGUUUGACCCAGUCCCCAUCCCCUGUCUUUGGGAUGGGAGUUCCGCUGGCUUUUCCAGAGCUGGAAGCUGCCUCACUCCUUUGGGAGAGUAGGUGUUGUCGAGAUCACCUGGAUGGUACAUUUGACUGAAUCCUGUAAAGUCCUCUACAGAAACUUAUAAGAUUUCGGCAGAUCCAAAGUAAUAAACUCAAAGACAUCAUCUGAUUUGGAUUUUGAAGUGAAAUUCCUCUGUCUGAUUCGCCUGCAGAUGAGAUGAUGCACAUUAAAACGGAGUUCUGUGUCCAUGGUCCUCUGAGCACUGGAGACCAUGACUGGGGACAGGCCCUGCCCAUCCUGGGACAUCGAGCUGCUGUCCAAGGCAUUCCGGAAUGGAGCA